GUCAACGUUCAUACCACGCUGUAGAAUACCAGUUCUCGUCCGAUCACUGAAGUCAAGCAGCGUUGGGCGCAGUUAGUACUUGAAUGGGUGACCGUCUGGGAAUACCGCGUAAUGUUGGCA
Dufourea novaeangliae is the source of this 120-nucleotide non-coding RNA. NCBI's taxonomy places the organism in Eukaryota, Metazoa, Arthropoda, Insecta, Hymenoptera, Halictidae. The record is from Rfam.